CUGUAUGAUGAGAGUUUAAAUUCCUACCACAGCCAUAUAUACAUGUUUGCUAGACUUUGAGCCACACAUUUACUAUUUACUGCUUAUGAGCAUUGAGUGUGAUCAAGCUGUGUAGACCCCUAGGAGCUUGUCAUGUGGUUAAAUCAAGAUUAACUUGCACGUUCACUCACAUAUGCUACUUCUACUCCGGAAGUACCAUCCACAUAUAUCCACCCAUUUCCAUCUCCAGAACCACCCAAAAAUAUUCUACUCCUAAUCCGGGAGAGAAUAGCCAAAAAUAUUUAUGUUUUCCCUUGUGAAAUAAAUGCUCGAGUUAUCUUGCUACUACCACUUGCUAUAUUAUCUCAUGAGAUGAGUGCUCUAAAAAAAGAGAAAAUACGAGGAAAUAAAAAGGGGCAAGUGCCCGGAACCUCGAAAGAAAAGAAAAAGUGAGACGAGAGGUAAAAAUGGACAAGUGUCCGACAGUAGAAUUAGGGGUACAAGAUACCCACCUAAGAGGAAGAAAAAAGAAGAGCAUCUCAUUCUCCUUAUAAAAUUUCAAAAGCAAGGAAGUUAUGUAUCCCCUCAAAGAGCAAAAGUAGAAUUAGGCUUUCACCAUUAUUAUCAUCACCAUACACCAUUCAUUCGCCACACAUGCACAUCUUGAUUUGACUUAUUUAUUUGUUUCUUUGGAUCUAUGGUUUGACUAUGCAAUAAAUGUCUUGUAAGUAUGUAUAUUUUAUCUCCCACCUAUGAGCUCCAGAUAUUAAAGCCUUAUUAGAGUAGGGUGAGAGAGAAGGUAAUGUCACUAUGCCAUAUACCACAAAUACCACAUAUUUUGAGAGAAGGCAUAUACCAUCACUGCCUUGGUAAGGAUCCAGAAAUACCACAAAAGAGAGAUAUGAGAGAAUCAUACAAGGAAUUUCUGAGUUUUAUUUGAAAAUCUGUAAAAACUCCAGAGCUAUAGCUGAUCAAGAAUAAGAGACAUGGCACUUGACUAGACUGUUCUAUCUUUUAACUACUCAAGACAGAAGUGACAGUUACAAGUCCCAUGGUGAAAGGUAAAGUAAGUAAGUAUUAAGUCUUGACAGU
This 1071-nucleotide long non-coding RNA is filed under the name Sorghum bicolor (sorghum). RNAcentral describes it as "long non-coding RNA (SBIC_LNC002638)". Lineage: Eukaryota; Viridiplantae; Streptophyta; Magnoliopsida; Poales; Poaceae. The record is from RNAcentral.